This 717-nucleotide ribosomal RNA is filed under the name uncultured Alphaproteobacteria bacterium. Its description in RNAcentral is "bacterial SSU rRNA". It matches the Rfam family "Bacterial small subunit ribosomal RNA", at positions 8 to 773 of the family's 1533-position model. The record is from RNAcentral. Lineage: Bacteria; Pseudomonadati; Pseudomonadota; Alphaproteobacteria.
AGAGUUUGAUCCUGGCUCAGAACGAACGCUGGCGGCAUGCCUAACACAUGCAAGUCGAACGAGACCUUCGGGUCUAGUGGCGCACGGGUGCGUAACGCGUGGGAAUCUGCCCUUGGGUUCGGGAUAACAGUUGGAAACGACUGCUAAUACCGGAUGAUGUCUUCGGACCAAAGAUUUAUCGCCCAGGGAUGAGCCCGCGUAGGAUUAGCUUGUUGGUGAGGUAAGAGCUCACCAAGGCGACGAUCCUUAGCUGGUCUGAGAGGAUGAUCAGCCACACUGGGACUGAGACACGGCCAGACUCCUACGGGAGGCAGCAGUGGGGAAUAUUGGACAAUGGGCGAAAGCCUGAUCCAGCAAUGCCGCGUGAGUGAUGAAGGCCUUAGGGUUGUAAAGCUCUUUUACCCGGGAUGAUAAUGACAGUACCGGGAGAAUAAGCCCCGGCUAACUCCGUGCCAGCAGCCGCGGUAAUACGGAGGGGGCUAGCGUUGUUCGGAAUUACUGGGCGUAAAGCGCGCGUAGGCGGCUUUGUAAGUUAGAGGUGAAAGCCCGGAGCUCAACUCCGGAAUUGCCUUUAAGACUGCAUCGCUAGAAUCAUGGAGAGGUUAGUGGAAUUCCGAGUGUAGAGGUGAAAUUCGUAGAUAUUCGGAAGAACACCAGUGGCGAAGGCGACUAACUGGACAUGUAUUGACGCUGAGGUGCGAAAGCGUGGGAGCAAAC